RNAcentral lists this ribosomal RNA (1427 nucleotides) under Limosilactobacillus fermentum. RNAcentral's name for it is "Lactobacillus fermentum 16S ribosomal RNA". It matches the Rfam family "Bacterial small subunit ribosomal RNA". The record is from RNAcentral. Lineage: Bacteria; Bacillati; Bacillota; Bacilli; Lactobacillales; Lactobacillaceae.
ACGAGUGGCGGACGGGUGAGUAACACGUAGGUAACCUACCCAGAAGCGGGGGACAACAUUUGGAAACAGAUGCUAAUACCGCAUAACAGCGUUGUUCGCAUGAACAACGCUUAAAAGAUGGCUUCUCGCUAUCACUUCUGGAUGGACCUGCGGUGCAUUAGCUUGUUGGUGGGGUAACGGCCUACCAAGGCGAUGAUGCAUAGCCGAGUUGAGAGACUGAUCGGCCACAAUGGGACUGAGACACGGCCCAUACUCCUACGGGAGGCAGCAGUAGGGAAUCUUCCACAAUGGGCGCAAGCCUGAUGGAGCAACACCGCGUGAGUGAAGAAGGGUUUCGGCUCGUAAAGCUCUGUUGUUAACGAAGAACACGUAUGAGAGUAACUGUUCAUACGUCGACGGUAUUUAACCAGAAAGUCACGGCUAACUACGUACCAGCAGCCGCGGUAAUACGUAGGUGGCAAGCGUUAUCCGGAUUUAUUGGGCGUAAAGAGAGUGCAGGCGGUUUUCUAAGUCUGAUGUGAAAGCCUUCGGCUUAACCGGAGAAGUGCAUCGGAAACUGGAUAACUUGAGUGCAGAAGAGGGUAGUGGAACUCCAUGUGUAGCGGUGGAAUGCGUAGAUAUAUGGAAGAACACCAGUGGCGAAGGCGGCUACCUGGUCUGCAACUGACGCUGAGACUCGAAAGCAUGGGUAGCGAACAGGAUUAGAUACCCUGGUAGUCCAUGCCGUAAACGAUGAGUGCUAGGUGUUGGAGGGUUUCCGCCCUUCAGUGCCGGAGCUAACGCAUUAAGCACUCCGCCUGGGGAGUACGACCGCAAGGUUGAAACUCAAAGGAAUUGACGGGGGCCCGCACAAGCGGUGGAGCAUGUGGUUUAAUUCGAAGCUACGCGAAGAACCUUACCAGGUCUUGACAUCUUGCGCCAACCCUAGAGAUAGGGCGUUUCCUUCGGGAACGCAAUGACAGGUGGUGCAUGGUCGUCGUCAGCUCGUGUCGUGAGAUGUUGGGUUAAGUCCCGCAACGAGCGCAACCCUUGUUACUAGUUGCCAGCAUUAAGUUGGGCACUCUAGUGAGACUGCCGGUGACAAACCGGAGGAAGGUGGGGACGACGUCAGAUCAUCAUGCCCCUUAUGACCUGGGCUACACACGUGCUACAAUGGACGGUACAACGAGUCGCGAACUCGCGAGGGUAAGCAAAUCUCUUAAAACCGUUCUCAGUUCGGACUGCAGGCUGCAACUCGCCUGCACGAAGUCGGAAUCGCUAGUAAUCGCGGAUCAGCAUGCCGCGGUGAAUACGUUCCCGGGCCUUGUACACACCGCCCGUCACACCAUGAGAGUUUGUAACACCCAAAGUCGGUGGGGUAACCUUUUAGGAGCCAGCCGCCUAAGGUGGGACAGAUGAUUAGGGUGAAGUCGUAACAAGGUAGCCGU